Molecule: long non-coding RNA, 2900 nt
Organism: Fukomys damarensis (Damara mole-rat)
Lineage: Eukaryota; Metazoa; Chordata; Mammalia; Rodentia; Bathyergidae
Exons: 4
Source: RefSeq, a predicted model, not a curated record
GCGCCACCCAGCGGCCCGGGUUUGUGGCUGCAGCCCAGCCUCGGAGAUCGCGGAAGAGGUCGGGAGCCGCGCUGCCUCUGGUCUCGGAGAAUCGCAACACAAAGGGAAACCUGAGCCAAAACCGCCACCGAGGCCUCUCUCCGUGCUCAAUCUUAAGGAAUUGAAUUCUGAGGACAACGAAAGCUCCAGAAUGCUGCACACAUGUUCUGCCCAUGUCCCCGAAGACCUCACCAUUCCUGGAGAGUCUGGCAGCUCCUCACUUCCCAAGGACCCAAGGCUGCUGCGAAGUGCUGUCCAGUGACCCCUUGACAUGGUGAAUGAAUACCAAUUUGAGCAGAACUGAUGAUGCUCCCAGGAUUGACCGGAUGAUCCCCCACCCCACUGCACAACGGUGAAAAUAUCUUAACACCUUUGGGCUCUGCUGUGCUCUGCUGUGCUCACUGGGUACAGAAAGGCCCUGAGAAGAUAGCAAAUGUAUUCAGAUUUUUGUUUGUCUGCAGUUUGAUGUAAUAUUGUUUUAUUUUUGGCCCCCAAUUGCUCAGCAAAAGAAAGAACUUGGUUAAGCUGCUGAUUUCCUCUAAAUUGCUGAGCAUAAGGAUUAUAGCUUGAUGAAGUCAUUUAGUACUGAGUGUUUAUUUCAAACCAUGCCAGUGGCUCUUGCUGGUGUUUUGCAUGGGGAAUAUGAUGAUGCUUGGUUUUUGUGGAGUUGAAAUAACUAUGAAUUUACCAGUACCACCUUGAGAGGAGUUUUAAAAUUUUAUUUCACUUUUAGGGCUUGAAAUAUAAACCUCCACUUAGGUUUUUGAGGAAGAUAGCACAGAGAGAAAGCACAUAAACUUUGACUUAAUAACACCAGUUGCAACUUCUCCAGACAUUUCUGAACUCUGAAGCCCGAUAAUCAUCAGUGUUGGAUGUGGCAUACUUAGGACUUCUCCCAAGAAAGCCCUUUGUAAUGGAGUUCCAUUCUGGUAGAAAAGGUAUGCUCGUGACAUCAAUACUAAAGAGAGAGGUGGAAGUAGGAGAUGAGAAUACUACUUACAUAAUAAAUACAUCUCAUCUUCUUUCCACUUUUCUCAUUAUUGUUUUUCUUUUCUCCCUGUUCUCCCAUACCUGAGGAGAAAAGGGUGAGUUGAGAAGGCAGUCUGUGCUUAUCCAAAAUAAUAAAAAAUAAAAUUUGAGAGAAGAAAACUGCUCGCUCUCCAGCUACCCUUUCACCCAUUCGGUAAACGUAUAUUUGUUGAACACUUGUAAAAUGCUAGACAGUGUACUGAGAAUAUACGAACAAAACUGAGUUGCUUCUCAAUUCAGUCAUGCAUACCAUAAACGUUACCAUUUAGCCAGUGCUUGAUUCAGAAAAAAUGAAAACAUAUGCAAUAAAUAUGUAAAAGUAUUCAAAAUGCCGAGAGAGCAAAAACUUGAGGAAAUAACUAGGACCUGUCCUGCAGCCUGCAUAUUCUAUUCGAAGUUUCUGAGGCACACAGGCCACCGUGGAGACUCUGCCAAGCACCCUACAGUUCCGGUGCUAGGGGGUGGCCCCGGAGGGCAGAACGGUUAUGAUCUCUGGAAUCACACAGCCCCGAGCUUCUGUCCCUAUCAUGGCAGACUGCUAAUUUUCCUUCAUUACACAUUUUCCUCUUCGUCCUCAAUUAUAAACCCUGAAUUCAGUUGGGCAUAUGCCUACCAACUGUAGACUGUUCCCAGUCUGCUUGGUAGCUGGGCACAACUUUGAAAUUACACUCUGCUCAAGUAGAAGUGGUGCUUUUAACUUCUAAGAAGUAUCCUUGAGAGAAGUGGAAUUUCUCUUUCUCUGUGUUUUUUAUUCUGCAAGCAAGCAGUUGGCCAAGAAUGCUGGUGCUAGAACCAUGGCAUCAGAUCAUCAGAUGGAAAGCUCGUAUGGAGGACAGCAGAGCAACACCAGCCCCAGAGUGUGAGGACUGUGAAGCUACCCUACCGCUCUGUGUGGCUGUGAGAGGGAAAUAAAACCUGCAUUUGGUUCUUAGGUUCCUGUCAUUUUCAGCCCAGUCUAAUACUAAUAAGACUUUAGGCAAACACAACCUACAACCCACUGAGACUCACUCAGUUUCCUCUUCAUAAAAUAAAAAUAAUGCCCAUUUUUGUACGUGUUAAAAGAAAGAGUAAAUAAAUUUAAUUCAUCUAGAACAAUGCUAGGUAUCCAGUGGGGUUAUUACCAAUAGUAGCUACUCAAAUAUUGUGCUCUACAAGUCUCCAAAACUUAAAUCAAAAUUCCUGUCCCCUGAUAAUCUGUUCUCACAUCAGUCUUCCCAGGGACUGUUUGCGUCUUCAAAAUGGCCCUUCUUCCGAAUUUGGUACAACCAUAGGAAGGAGAUCCAUAGAUUGAUGGGGAAGAAGAGGCUCCCAGCUAGAGAAUGGCAGCUUAAGCGACUCUGAUGAUUGGGUGGGAAGCUAACAUGACAUGAAAAGCACUGUCACACCUUUCAAGUUGUCUCAUCCUACAGUGGUAUUUGAUGCUCCACUUGCCUCUCAGCCUGACACUCAAAUGUAAGUGUAUGUGCCACACAAUCAUGAAAAGGAGGUUCAUGGAGAUAAAUGUUCUCUUAUACUAGACUAAAACAGGAGCAACAGGAAGGGUGGGAGCACCUUUAGUGGGGAAUUUCUUUUUAGUAGAAUGUGUUUGGGGAAGUCAGAAGGAGAAUUUAUCAGGGCUACAACUUCCCCUCCAUCCUUCCUGGUCACCUGCCCUGCUCAUGAUCUAAGGGACUUGGGCAGACUCUGGACCCAGCGAGACAAAUUGUCAGCCCUUAGAGACAGCCUUGGUGGGCGUCAUUUCACGGACAGGCCAACAAGGUUUCAGUACCUGAUUUGUGUUACCGUGGACCACAAGCCAUUUAUAAUAUCCAAACCUCAGUUUCUUCAUCUGU